RNAcentral lists this ribosomal RNA (137 nucleotides) under Malawimonas californiana (nom. ined.). The record is from RNAcentral. Lineage: Eukaryota; Malawimonada; Malawimonadea; Malawimonadida; Malawimonadidae.
GUUAUCUUAAAAUUUAACUUUCAUUGGAUAAUUGGAAACACCUAAAAACAUAUUGAACUUAUGUGUGAAAUAAUUAUUAGACAUAUUUACUAUAUAUAUAAUAUGGGAAACAUGUUAAAGUUUAAUUGGAUAACAAA